AAUCAACGCUGGCGGCGUGCCUAACACAUGCAAGUCGAACGCGAAAGGGGCUUCGGCCCUGAGUAGAGUGGCGUUCGGGUGAGUAACGCGUGGGUAAUCUGCCUUCGGGUGGGGAAUAACCAGUCGAAAGAUUGGCUAAUACCGCAUAAAGCAACUGUUUCUAUGAAGUGGUUGUUAAAGGAGCAAUCCGCUUGAAGAGGAGCCUGCGUCUGAUUAGCUAGUUGGCGGGGUAACGGCCCACCAAGGCUACGAUCAGUAGCUGGUCUGAGAGGACGGCCA
This 279-nucleotide ribosomal RNA is filed under the name uncultured bacterium. RNAcentral describes it as "partial 16S ribosomal RNA". It matches the Rfam family "Bacterial small subunit ribosomal RNA", at positions 32 to 306 of the family's 1533-position model. The record is from RNAcentral.